Mus musculus (house mouse) is the source of this 575-nucleotide long non-coding RNA. RefSeq annotates it as predicted gene, 33308. The transcript has 3 exons. The record is from RefSeq and is a predicted model, not a curated record. Lineage: Eukaryota; Metazoa; Chordata; Mammalia; Rodentia; Muridae.
UUUCUUCAGGUUCUUCCAGGGAGCCACUGACCCACAGAUGGCUUCGAGUGUUUUACCGCCCAAAUAAGACCUUUGUUACAAACCAUCUGACUGCUUCUAUUUAAACAUGUCAUCUUUCAUUUUCUCCUUAAUGUCAAUAUCCUAUUAAUUCAAUUCACAAAAAGUGGGAUUCUGUGUGCCAGUUGGCUAUAUUUUGAUGAACUCUCUUGUAUGGCACUUUUUGCUUAUUUAGUAAAUUUAAUAAUGAAGUGUAGUUUCUAGAAGUUUCUGGAGAAAAGGAAGAUCGAUUUGGAGAAGAAGACAGUAGCCAUCCUGCUAAGAAGUCCACUGAGUUCGACCCUGUUGGCAUCAAGUGCUAUUGGAGUGUGAGGCUGAGGAACUUCUACAUUGUGUCCUGGCCAGGAGCGCACGCACUCCAGUCUUCAUUCCUGGCAAAGGAAUGGACAACAGCCAGCUAGAAAAGGAAACUUCUGACCUCCUUGCCCAGCUCCUCCUUCUGCCCUAUGGCUACCCCACUGUGUUAGGCAUCGAUACCCAACCAACUGUGGAUCCCCCUCCCCACAAUAAAAGCCUGC